CUUCCCCUCAAAGCCACAUGCAAAGCAGCUCCACCUUGGACGGCGAAGACUCUCUACCAGGGUCCAUUUUUCUGUGUCAGGAUCAUACAUCUCUGCACUUGAGAGACCAUCGCCAUCCAUUCCAUAGCCCCCAACAGCAUAAACUUUGCCAUUAACCUCUGCACAUGCAAAAUCAUAGCGUGCAACAUUCAUGUUUGACAAUUUGCUCCAACUAUUGAGGAAAGAAUCAUAUUCAUAAACAUCAGCAGAGGCAGAGCCAUUCCCAUCAAUAACUGAAUAACCAGCCAUGACAAGAAGCUUGCCAUUUAGAACAACUACCCCAAAGCCAGCCUUCACA
RNAcentral lists this unclassified non-coding RNA (337 nucleotides) under Hevea brasiliensis (rubber tree). The record is from RNAcentral. Lineage: Eukaryota; Viridiplantae; Streptophyta; Magnoliopsida; Malpighiales; Euphorbiaceae.